GUGAUACGCUGCGAUAAGCUACGGGGAGGUGCGAAUACCCUUUGAUCCGUAGAUUUCCGAAUGGGGAAACCCACCUAAGGUACUUGGAAAAUCAGAGCAGCAGGGCAACUUGCUGCUGUGGUUUCCAAGUAUCGAUAAUAGGUAACUUACCCUGAAUAAAAUAGGGGUAAAGUGGCGAACGCGGGGAACUGAAACAUCUAAGUACCCGUAGGAAAGGACAUCAACCGAGACUCCGGAAGUAGUGGCGAGCGAACCCGGACCAGGCCAGUGGCGAUGAUGAGACAAGCGGAACCUUCUGGAAAGUAGGGCCAUAGUGGGUGACAGCCCCGUAC
RNAcentral lists this ribosomal RNA (332 nucleotides) under Mesorhizobium sp. Its description in RNAcentral is "partial 23S ribosomal RNA". It matches the Rfam family "Bacterial large subunit ribosomal RNA", at positions 58 to 378 of the family's 2925-position model. Lineage: Bacteria; Pseudomonadati; Pseudomonadota; Alphaproteobacteria; Hyphomicrobiales; Phyllobacteriaceae. The record is from RNAcentral.